Molecule: microRNA precursor, 101 nt
Filed under: Corchorus capsularis
Lineage: Eukaryota; Viridiplantae; Streptophyta; Magnoliopsida; Malvales; Malvaceae
Description: pre miRNA MIR473
Source: RNAcentral
CACAUUCACUCUCCCUCAAGGGCUUCCCCAAACAUUGCCAUGCACGGCAUUCAUGAUGCUUGCAUCGAGUGCUUGAUGAAGUCCUUGGGGAGAGUGCAUAU